GAACGGUUCACGUUCAAACAGGACGGGAGCCUGACGGUACCUCCAAAGGAAGCACCGGCUAACUCCGUGCCAGCAGCCGCGGUAAUACGGAGGGUGCAAGCGUUGUUCGGAAUCAUUGGGCGUAAAGCGCGUGUAGGCGGCUUGGCAAGUCAGUUGUGAAAGCCCGGGGCCCAACCCCGGAACUGCAUCUGAAACUGCUUGGCUAGAGUCCCGGAGAGGAAGGCAGAAUUCCCGGUGUAGGGGUGAAAUCCGUAGAUAUCGGGAGGAAUACCAGCGGCGAAGGCGGCCUUCUGGACGGUGACUGACGCUGAGACGCGAAAGCGUGGGGAGCAAACAGGGUUAGAUACCCUGGUAGUCCACGCCGUAAACGUUGAGUGCUAGGUGUCGCGGGUAUUGACCCCUGCGGUGCCGUCGUUAACGCAUUUAGCACUCCGCCUGGGGAGUACGGUCGCAAGGCUA
RNAcentral lists this ribosomal RNA (459 nucleotides) under uncultured Pseudomonadota bacterium. RNAcentral describes it as "bacterial SSU rRNA". It matches the Rfam family "Bacterial small subunit ribosomal RNA", at positions 443 to 896 of the family's 1533-position model. Lineage: Bacteria; Pseudomonadati; Pseudomonadota. The record is from RNAcentral.